RNAcentral lists this long non-coding RNA (2858 nucleotides) under Homo sapiens (human). Its description in RNAcentral is "CYLD antisense RNA 1, transcript variant 3 (CYLD-AS1)". Lineage: Eukaryota; Metazoa; Chordata; Mammalia; Primates; Hominidae. The record is from RNAcentral.
AGAACACGCCAUUAACAAGGCCAGAACCCCGACUGCCAUUCCUGGACGGGAGCCACCAACACCCGCAAAAUCGAUCGAUUCAGCCUGGGACGCUUGCUGUUUCCGAACCUCUGUUGCCACCUAUCCCAGUUUGGAGGGAAUUUUCCCAAGGAUGGUGAAGAAGGGAUUUCCACACGCCGCCUCACUCAGCCCCGCACCCCUGGCCACCAGCCAGGACUUAGGGUGUAGCUUCAUGACCACACUGCUGUAGGAAGCCAUAAGUUGGAAAUCAACGGGCCUGGCUUGAAGUGUGGCCUUAGGCAACACCGUUCUCAUCUACAUCUGGAUUCUCCAACAAAGCUGGGAAAAAAACGAUCCAAGGGAAGCCAAUCAAAGAGCCUGGAUUGCCAGUCUUCCCUGCUGCGAUCUCCGCCUGCGAUUCUCCAGGGGAAAUGUCCUUUAUGACCUUACAGCUCACCUGGAACCCUCCACCUAGGGCCCGAGGCAGCACAUCCUCUCGUGCCCGGGCACUUCCAGGCAUUGCCCUGAGUACUGGGCACUUCACACACUGGGCUGGACCACUCACCGGAGUGAAUAAGGAGGCUUGAAGCUGUCCUGGUACAACAAUGGAAUGAAGCGCUAGUCUCAGCUCAGCCACUUGGAAUAUGACUCCAACUCUCACAUUUCUGUGGGGUGUAUUCAUUUCAGCUUUUUGUUUGGUGCUAUGGGGAGGGAAGGGCCCUCAGACUGGCAUCCUUUUUCUUCCAGGAUGAUGAUGAAUAUUAUGAAAGUCUGAGGCUGUUUUUAAAAUUCUGCUCUAAUACGUUGUUUUUCUGUGCAUAAGAAUUAUGUAUUCUUAGCUGCAAAACUGGAAUCCGUCUGCUCAUGGAUAAACUUCUGGCCAUGAGCAUGUACCUUUCAGGUAACUUCCCUAUCAGAGAAGCUUACAAUCAAGAAUCCUACUUCCCUAGUUCCCUACACAGGCCCAGGAGGCUUUUGGUGGUAUCCGCUGGACUUUUGAAAAUUAGGGAAUUUCUCCUACUCUGAACUCUACCAGGAAUCACAUAUCAAGAUCUCAGUACCAUCUUACCUAGACCCUCUUGACCUCUUCUUUCUCCAUAAUCUCUUUCUAGCUCAUGUCAUCCAGACUCGAGGGCCCCAUUCUCAGUUUGACACUGAGGACACCCACGCUAUUAUCUCUGGCUGUGACCUUUCCCACGAGCUCCAAAUUCACACCAUCUUUUGACGUCUCCACUUAACUUCCCCAUUUCGGUGUCUCAAACUUGACAAUUCAAAACAGAACUCCCUCCCACUUCCAAACUGGUUUCCUACCCAACUUUCCCAGGCCCCCAGUUUCUCAAGUCAGAAAUCUAUGAGUCAUCCUUGAUGUUUGCCAUUCCCUCAUCCCUCCCAUCCAACCCAUUCGUAGGCUCUUGGGAAUCUACCUCCAAAAUGUCUCUGGAAUCCAUCCUCUUCUCUCCACCUCCACUGCCAACCGCCUCUCACCUGCAAUAGCUCUGAGGCAGCCUCCCCACUUCUUCUGCCUCCCAUCCCCACCCCUACAUAUUCCUGUCCUAUCUCCACCCAGAAGCAAACAAGAUCUUCUUUAACUGUAAAUUGGUUCACAUCUCCCCUGCUUAGAACUUUCCAAGGCCUUGACAUUAUUCCAAGAUCAAGACCAAACUCUUGACUGUGGCCAGUGAGACCUUUCCUGAACUGGUCCUACCUACCUCUGCAAACCCAUCUAGUGACACCUUUCCCUUAGCUUGCCUCCAACAUAGUGUAUUAGUUUCCUAUGGCUGCUGCAGGAAAUGACACAAAUUAUCCCCUUAUAGUCGUGGAAGCCAGAAGUCCAAAAUGGGCUGGAGCCAAGGCAGGCAGGGCUAUGCUGCUUGCAGAGGUUCUAGGGGAGAAUCUAUUUCUUGGUCUUCUUUGGCUUCUAGAGCUGCAAUCCUUGGCUCAUGGCGCCUUCCUCCACCUUCAGAGCCAGCAGUGUAGCAUCUUACUUGGUGAUCACAUUUCUUUCUUCUCCAGUGUCAUAUUUCCCUUUGCUUUACAUUGUCCUUUAAAUUUCUCUUAUAAGGAAACUGCGAUUGCAUUUAAGACCCACCCAGGUAAUCCAAGAUGAUCUUCCCAUCUCAAGACCCUUAACUGAAUCCCACCUCCAAAGUCCCUUUUGCCAGGUAAGGCAACAUUCCCAGGUCCCGGGGAUUAGGAUCUACAUAUGUUCGGGAGUGACUAUUGAGCCUACCAUGCAUACCACGCUCCUUCCCUCACCAGGGUCUUUGUACCUCUUGUCCCCCAUUACUAGAAUGCUCCCUUCUUCCCUCUCACUCUUUGCUUGGCCAUAUCUUUCUCAUUCUUGGGGACACAGCUUACCUGGCACCUCCUCAGACAACCUGUCUCGGACCAGCCCCUUAACAGCCUGAAGACUUUUUUUUUUUUUUUUUUGAUACGGAGUCUUGCUCUGUUGCCCAGGCUAGAGUGCAGUAGUGUGAUCUCAGCUCACUGCAACCUCUGCCUCCCGGGUUCAAGCAGUUCUCCUGCUUCAACCUCCCAAGUAGCUGGGAUUACAGGCACCUGCUACCAUGCCCGGCUAAUUUUUGUAUUUUUAGUAGAGACAGGGUUUCACCAUGUUGGCCAGGCUGGUCUCGAACUCCCGACCGCAAGUGAUCUGCCCACCUUGGCCUCCCAAAGUGCUGAGAUUACAGGCAUGAGCCACAGUGCCUGGAUGAAGACUUUUUCAUGUCUUUUUCAACUGACUUGUUUUCUGCCUGCCUCUCCCUCCACCCUCACCUAAGCACCUUGAGGACCAUGUCUGUUUUGUCAAUCCACUGGUCAUCCUAAUAUAACUGGUUAAUAAAUCAUUGCUGAAUUUA